UUCAAUCUACAGGGUGUCCAUAAAUGAUUACCCUAAAACAAUAUGCUCUCAUGUUUUAAUCAGGGUAAUCAUUUAUGGACACCCUGUAUUUCAAUAUGGAUAUAAUUUUCAAGAAUGUAACCAGAAAUUUGUUAAAAUUUUAAUGAUUUGGAAUUAAAAGAUAGAGCAGAAUAUAUUGAUACAGUUUGAGGCUUUAUUACUCAGCAUUAGUUUCUACUUAGUACUGCAAUUAAGGUUUACUGAGGGAAUCACAGCAUUGGAUCACAUCUGUUAAAUGAUCGAAAGCCAAGAGUAAAUAUAAAUGGAUUCUGGUUUAAUUGGUCUACAGUAUUAAGUGUUAUCCUAUAGAAGAGUGUGUUAGGUUUGGUCCUCUUGCUUGUCAGUAUUAAGUGUUAUCCUGUAGAAGAGUGUGUUAGGUUUGGUCCUCUUGCUUGUCAGUAUUAAGUGUUAUCCUGUAGAAGAGUGUGUUAGGUUUGGUCCUCUUGCUUGUCCGUAUUAAGUGUUAUCCUGUAGAAGAGUGUGUUAGGUUUGGUCCUCUUGCUUGUCAGUAUUAAGUGUUAUCCUGUAGAAGAGUGUGUUAGGUUUGGUUCUCUUGCUUGUCAGUAUUAAGUGUUAUCCUGUAGAAGAGUGUGUUAGGUUUGGUCCUCUUGCUUGUCAGUAUUAAGUGUUAUCCUGUAGAAGAGUGUGUUAGGUUUGGUCCUCUUGCUUGUCAGUAUUAAGUGUUAUCCUGUAGAAGAGUGUGUUAGGUUUGUUCCUCUUGCUUGUCAGUAUUAAGUGUUAUCCUGUAGAAGAGUGUGUUAGGUUUGUUCCUCUUGCUUGUCAGUAUUAAGUGUUAUCCUGUAGAAGAGUGUGUUAGGUUUGUUCCUCUUGCUUGUCAGUAUUAAGUGUUAUCCUGUAGAAGAGUGUGUUAGGUUUGUUCCUCUUGCUUGUCAGUAUUAAGUGUUAUCCUGUAGAAGAGUGUGUUAGGUUUGUUCCUCUUGCUUGUCAGAUAUACAUUAAUGACACAUACGUAUUUCUGCCUUAUUCAUGUGUCCUUUUUUCCGGAUCUUUCUAAAACAUUCAGA
This is a long non-coding RNA of Homarus americanus (American lobster), 1064 nucleotides long. RefSeq lists it as uncharacterized. The transcript is spliced from 2 exons. Lineage: Eukaryota; Metazoa; Arthropoda; Malacostraca; Decapoda; Nephropidae. The record is from RefSeq and is a predicted model, not a curated record.